CCAAUGUCCUGAAAUUUCCCUUGACCUGCCCUGAUGGAAAUCUGGACGUGUGGCUUAUCUGCUGUGCUAGGGCUCAGGAUGGACAAGGUAGCCCAGAGCUGGACCAACUGCCAAGAGGAGUCCCUUCUGCCCUCUGCCCUCUCAACAAUAAGACUGGCUCCGCCUCCCUCCCACUGGGCAGUCCCCAUUGCUCCAACUGCCUCCUCUGUUGCACCCAGGAACUCAUCUGGGCUCCAGCCUGAGGGAGUCAGGCCCAUCUCAUUCUCCAGGCAGGACUGAAACUGGGCAGGCAAGAAUUUGGGUCUGACCCCAGGCUGCCUGCCUUGUUAAAUAAGACCAACCUAGAAAACAAACAAAGAGUGAAAACCUCCAAACCCACCUG
RNAcentral lists this long non-coding RNA (382 nucleotides) under Homo sapiens (human). Its description in RNAcentral is "LNC_000712". Lineage: Eukaryota; Metazoa; Chordata; Mammalia; Primates; Hominidae. The record is from RNAcentral.